GAUGAAGAACGUAGCGAAAUGCGAUAAGUAAUGCGAAUUGCAGAAUUCCGUGAGUCAUCGAAUCUUUGAACGCACAUUGCGCCCCUUGGUAUUCCAUGGGGCAUGCCUGUUCGAGCGUCAUUUGUACCUUCAAGCUCUGCUUGGUGUUGGGUGUUUGUCCUUGCUCUAGUGGCGGGACUCGCCUUAAAGUAAUUGGCAGCCAGUGUUUUGGUUUUGAAGCGCAGCACAAGUCGCGAUUCAAGUCUAUACGCUAGUUUCCACAAGUCUUUUAUCACUUUUGACCUCGGAUCAGGUAGGGAUACCCGCUGAACUUAAGCAUAUCAAUAAGCGGAGGA
This 335-nucleotide unclassified non-coding RNA is filed under the name soil metagenome. RNAcentral describes it as "partial contains 5.8S ribosomal RNA, internal transcribed spacer 2, and large subunit ribosomal RNA". The stretch from base 1 to 120 matches the Rfam family "5.8S ribosomal RNA", at positions 35 to 154 of the family's 154-position model. The record is from RNAcentral.